Molecule: ribosomal RNA, 560 nt
Filed under: uncultured bacterium
Lineage: Bacteria
Description: partial 16S ribosomal RNA
Rfam family: Bacterial small subunit ribosomal RNA
Source: RNAcentral
UGGGGAAUAUUGGACAAUGGGCGCAAGCCUGAUCCAGCCAUGCCGCGUGAGUGAUGAAGGCCCUAGGGUUGUAAAGCUCUUUCGCCAGGGACGAUAAUGACGGUACCUGGAUAAGAAGCCCCGGCUAACUUCGUGCCAGCAGCCGCGGUAAUACGAAGGGGGCUAGCGUUGUUCGGAAUCACUGGGCGUAAAGCGCACGUAGGCGGAUCUUUAAGUCAGGGGUGAAAUCCCGAGGCUCAACCUCGGAACUGCCUUUGAUACUGGAGGUCUCGAGUCCGGGAGAGGUGAGUGGAACUGCGAGUGUAGAGGUGAAAUUCGUAGAUAUUCGCAAGAACACCAGUGGCGAAGGCGGCUCACUGGCCCGGUACUGACGCUGAGGUGCGAAAAGCGUGGGGAGCAAACAGGAUUAGAUACCUGGUAGUCCACGCCGUAAAACUAUGGAUGCUAGCCGUUGGGCAGCUUGCUGUUCAGUGGCGCAGCUAACGCUUUAAGCACCCGCCUGGGGAGUACGGUCGCAAGAUUAAAACUCAAAGGAAUUGACGGGGUCAUAGCUGUUUCCU